RNAcentral lists this long non-coding RNA (362 nucleotides) under Pongo abelii (Sumatran orangutan). RNAcentral's name for it is "lincRNA". The record is from RNAcentral. Lineage: Eukaryota; Metazoa; Chordata; Mammalia; Primates; Hominidae.
AAAGGAGGAUGUUGCUGAUCUCAGUACAAGCAAUGUUAGAGAAAGGGGAAGAUGGAAGUGGACAUGGAUGAGUGAGUGGAAGGCGACAAAUGGAAGCAAAGAAACGUAUCCAGACCAUUGAAGAUGCUUGACCGAGAAGAAAGAGCCGGUGGAGGGAAUGGAAGCCCAAGGAAGUCAUUUGUUGCAAUAAGAGGCCUCAGAGCACGUGUAGGGUGCGGGGCAGAGCCCAUGCAGAGGGGCUGUGGAAGGCUGGCAGGGUGCAGGUGGCCCCACUCUCCGUCACCCUGCAGAGUAUGUGGUCAGAGUUAAAGCUCAGUCUGUUCCUGGGAUCAGUAUUUUAUCAUGGCAGCCCUAGCAAAUUA